This 329-nucleotide RNase P RNA is filed under the name chicken gut metagenome. Its description in RNAcentral is "Bacterial RNase P class A". It matches the Rfam family "Bacterial RNase P class A". Rfam says of the family: Ribonuclease P (RNase P) is a ubiquitous endoribonuclease, found in archaea, bacteria and eukarya as well as chloroplasts and mitochondria. The record is from RNAcentral.
AGUUGAUCAUACGGCCGCGCGGCUUUUCGCCGUGAGGAAAGUCCGGGCACCGCAGGGCAAGGACGCCGGAUAACGUCCGGUGGAGGCGACUUCAAGGAAAGUGCAACAGAAACAGACCGCAGGUUUUUCCUGUAAGGAUGGAAAGGGGAGGUAAGAGCUCACCGACGCUCUGGUAACAGGGCGUGCCGUGCAAACCCCGUCCGGUGCAAGAUUGGGCAUAUAUCGCAUGGGCUGCCCGCCCGAUGUAUGCCGUGAAUAUCGCUGGAGCGCAUCGGCGACGAUGCGCCGAGAUAGAUGGCCGUACACGACAGAACCCGGCUUACAGAUCA